UACGUAGGGGGCGAGCGUUGUCCGGAUUUACUGGGCGUAAAACGCUUGUGGGUGGCCACGCCAAGUCGGACGUGAAAUCUCCCGGCUUAACUGGGAGGGGUCGUUCGAUACUGGCGGGCUCGAGGCAGGUAGGGGGAAGCGGAAUUCCCGGUGUAGUGGUGGAAUGCGUAGAUAUCGGGAGGAACACCAGUGGCGAAGGCGGCUUCCUGGACCUGUUCUGACACUGAGGAGCGAAAGCGUGGGGAGCGAUCCGG
This 254-nucleotide ribosomal RNA is filed under the name uncultured bacterium. RNAcentral's name for it is "partial 16S ribosomal RNA". It matches the Rfam family "Bacterial small subunit ribosomal RNA", at positions 524 to 776 of the family's 1533-position model. The record is from RNAcentral.